UACGUAGGGUGCGAGCGUUGUCCGGAUUUAUUGGGCGUAAAGAGCUCGUAGGCGGUUUGUUAAGUCAGGGGUGAAAUCCCAGAGCUCAACUCUGGAACUGCCUUUGAUACUGGCAAGCUAGAGUCCGGAAGAGGUAAGUGGAACUCCUAGUGUAGAGGUGGAAUUCGUAGAUAUUAGGAAGAACACCAGUGGCGAAGGCGGCUCACUGGUCCGGUACUGACGCUGAGGUGCGAAAGCGUGGGGAGCAAACAGG
RNAcentral lists this ribosomal RNA (253 nucleotides) under uncultured bacterium. Its description in RNAcentral is "partial 16S ribosomal RNA". It matches the Rfam family "Bacterial small subunit ribosomal RNA", at positions 524 to 776 of the family's 1533-position model. The record is from RNAcentral.